RNAcentral lists this ribosomal RNA (478 nucleotides) under uncultured bacterium. RNAcentral's name for it is "partial 16S ribosomal RNA". It matches the Rfam family "Bacterial small subunit ribosomal RNA", at positions 28 to 523 of the family's 1533-position model. The record is from RNAcentral.
GACGAACGCUGGCGGCGUGCUUAACACAUGCAAGUCGAACGGUAAGGCCCUUCGGGGUACACGAGUGGCGAACGGGUGAGUAACACGUGGGUGAUCUGCCCUGCACUUCGGGAUAAGCCUGGGAAACUGGGUCUAAUACCGGAUAGGACCACUGCCUGCAUGGGUGGUGGUGGAAAGCUUUUGCGGUGUGGGAUGGGCCCGCGGCCUAUGAGCUUGUUGGUGGGGUGAUGGCCUACCAAGGAGACGACGGGUAGCCGGCCUGAGAGGGUGACCGGCCACACUGGGACUGAGAUACGGCCCAGACUCCUACGGGAGGCAGCAGUGGGGAAUAUUGCACAAUGGGCGCAAGCCUGAUGCAGCGACGCCGCGUGAGGGAUGACGGCCUUCGGGUUGUGAACCUCUUUCAGCAUCGACGAAGCGAAAGUGACGGUAGGUGCAGAAGAAGGACCGGCCAACUACGUGCCAGCAGCCGCCGUAA